RNAcentral lists this transfer RNA (74 nucleotides) under Limnofasciculus baicalensis BBK-W-15. RNAcentral's name for it is "tRNA-Arg". It matches the Rfam family "tRNA". From Rfam's summary of the family: Transfer RNA (tRNA) molecules are approximately 80 nucleotides in length. Their secondary structure includes four short double-helical elements and three loops (D, anti-codon, and T loops). Further hydrogen bonds mediate the characteristic L-shaped molecular structure. tRNAs have two regions of fundamental functional importance: the anti-codon, which is responsible for specific mRNA codon recognition, and the 3' end, to which the tRNAs corresponding amino acid is attached (by aminoacyl-tRNA synthetases). tRNAs cope with the degeneracy of the genetic code in two manners: having more than one tRNA (with a specific anti-codon) for a particular amino acid; and 'wobble' base-pairing, i.e. permitting non-standard base-pairing at the 3rd anti-codon position. The record is from RNAcentral. Lineage: Bacteria; Bacillati; Cyanobacteriota; Cyanophyceae; Coleofasciculales; Coleofasciculaceae.
GGGGACUAUAGCUCAACGGAAGAGUGCUUUACUAUCUAAGGAAGAAGUAGAGGUUCGAUUCCUCUUACUCCCCA